GUGCCAGCCGCCGCGGUAAUACCGGCAGCCCGAGUGAUGGCCGAUCUUAUUGGGCCUAAAGCGUCCGUAGCUGGCUGCGCAAGUCCGUCGGGAAAUCCACCUGCCCAACAGGUGGGCGUCCGGUAGAAACUGGCCGGCUUGGAACCGGAAGGCUCAGAGAGUACGUCCGGGGUAGGAGUGAAAUCCCGUAAUCCCGGACGGACUACCGAUGGCGAAAGCACUCUGAGAAGACGGCUUCGACAGUGAGGGACGAAAGCUCGGGUCUCAAACCGGAUUAGAUACCCGUGUAGUCC
Molecule: ribosomal RNA, 293 nt
Filed under: uncultured bacterium
Lineage: Bacteria
Description: partial 16S ribosomal RNA
Rfam family: Archaeal small subunit ribosomal RNA
Source: RNAcentral